UCCCUACGGUAACCUAGUGAGGUGACUCUCACUAUCGCCAUCUUACAGAUAAGACCACUGAGGCACUGGCUCCGGGCUUCUCAUCCAGUUGGCGGCACAGAGGAGUCCAAGGUCAGGUUGUCUAGAGUCCAGCUCUUCUCACGACCCUAGUCCGCCUCCACAGAACCAGGGACGCCGGACAAGGAGGACACUGCCUUCAGGACCCUUCUGCGGAGGUCCCUCAUGGUGCAGAAGUUGGGAGUAGAGGCAGAAACAGCUGUGAAAAUUCUGAUUUGUUUGUUUCUCUGAGCCAAGCUAAAGUGGAUAAUGAAGCCAAGCUGGCGAUUACCUUCCUGUGCGUGAUAAUGGUGGUAGUGGUGAUGCUGACUGCAGCAGGAUGACGGUGAUGUCAGCAGCGACACCAUUGGUCUUAUUGAUGGUGGCAGUGCCCAGGGUGGUGUGGGGGUAAUAGCAUGAGUGGGUGCUGGGAUGCUGUUAGUGAUCCUGCUAGGGCCAGGUUAGCUUGGAGGGGAGAGUGAUGUCCAUCACUGCAGUGGUGGCAAUGCUGCUAGAGACCUCCUGAGUAGUUGGACUCGGGCUGGCAUUGCUGCUGGGACCUUCCCUCACCCCCAUCAGGAAGACCCCUCUGCUCCUCCCCACCCUCAGUGAAGGGGGCAGGGCUCAGAGCCUUCCGUAGAACUGGCUUUAUUGCAUUCCCUGUUCUGGACAGUGUAAGCGAUGGCCCUGCCUCUCGAGAGGGACAAAUGUGAUAAAUAACCAGGGAGGACAAGCGGGAGGAGGCAGUCCUGCCACCAGAAGUCAUAAGUCUCUGUCCAGCCAUGUGACAGGCUCAUUACGGAAAGCUUCGGGGCCAUCCCGGGCUGCAGGGCCUGGGGCUCGGGAGAGCCCUCCAAUGCGUGGCUACUGAUGAAUCUGCAGCUCAGGGCUCGUGGAAUCACCAGCCUCAAUCUCUCCACCCUUCCCGCACACCAGACCAGUCAUGCCCAACUCACCCUGCAGCUGCGGCCACUCUUUCACCUCCCUCCCUCCAUCCUGGGAAAUCCAGGAAGGCAUUUGACAAAGCCUUUCCUGGUGUUCUUGGAAAUAGGAUGGACAAAUAUGAGCUGGAUAGCAGUCCAGUUAGAUGCACUGGACUCCAACAGACCCACAGAGGCCUGGGUUCACAUCCCAGCUCCAGCACUUACAGGACAUGUGAUGUUGGCAGUUGCCUUAACCUCUCCUCGUCUGCAAAGCGAUGACAGCACAAACUCUGCUUCGUUCAGUUGAAAAUGUGAGAUGAUAUAAAUCCUGCGUGGCUAGAUACCAUCCUAUCCUAAGGAAACAAGCACAAAGAUGCUAUUUGCCUGAUGACACACAGCUAAUAAGUGACAGAACUUGCAUUUGAACCGAGGAUGCAGAUACUGCUGGUCCAGAGGCCACACUUGGAGAACCACUGGUGUAGUGCAACCUGCUGAUAGCAUGCCUGGAGCCCCUGCACCCACGCGGGUGCACCCAUCCCUCAGCUACUGUGGAUAUUGGCUGCUAAUGGCUCCCAGCUGCCCCUCUGCUGGGGUCUCACCAUCUGCUGAUGGGAAGCACCUUGCCCUGGAGGUUACCCACCCCCCAACAGCGCACAGCUGAAAAAUUCCCACACCCUCCAAUAUUGGAGCAGAUGAGUAUGGAGACAACUGAGGAACCCAGAGUGUCUCCCAGCUGGAGACACCAAUUCCAAAAACAGGACUCCCAAAUCAUUGUCUCUUAGUAUCAAGAUCUCUCCUUCCAACAGUGGAGCCCAGGAAAACACCUUGAUGAGUCUUCAUAGAACAUUUUGGUGAGAAAGAGGACAGACUGUGGGCCCAAGCUGGAAGAGAAGACCAGGCUAAGAGGAACUGAAUUGCUUUGCAUAGCAAAGGAGCAGGGUAGGAGGCCCAGAAAGGAGAAGAAGAGAGAAAAGCCCAGGGUUCCCAGCUGAUAGCACUGACUGGAUGCAGACCUCAGGAAUGUUGGUUGGAGCUGAAUAUGGCUGUCCUUGUUUCAUGGAGCCUGGACCCCAUGGUUCAUCCUAGUCCCUCCUUGAACCCAUCCACUUUGGCUGCUUUUCUGUCCCAGGUAGGAUUUAGAAUUUGUGAUCCUCACUGGGCCUAGAGUGCAAUCACGUGCAAUCACGUGCAAUCAUAGGAUCAAGAAGGAACCUAGGAGAGACCCCCUCCAAUGACAGAGAAUGGCCAAUACCUUUGAGUGCCUGCUCUGUGUUCUAAGAACAGGCAACACUCUAACCUAUAGAGAUAGAAAUCAGAAUGGUGAUAGCUUUUGUGAGGGGCUGGCUUCUUGGGUGCUGGAAAUGUUCACUAUCUUUUUUUUUUUUUUAGACGGAGUUUUACUCUGUCACUCAGGCUGGAGUGCAGUGGCAGGAUCUUGGCUCAUGGCAACCUCCACCUCCUGGGUUCAAGCGAUUCUCCUGCCUCAGCCUCCUGAGUAGCUGGGAUUACAGGCGCCUGCCACCAGGCCCGGCUAAUUUUUGUAUUUUUUAGUAAAGAUGAGAUUUCAACAUGUUGGCCAGGGUGGUUUCGAACUCCUGACCUCAGGUGAUCCACCUGCCUCAACCUCCCAAAGUGCUGGGAUUACAGGCAUGAGCCACCGCGCCCAGCCGGAAAUGUUCACCAUCUUGACCUGGGUGGUGGUUAUACAGAGGUGUGGUCUCUGUGUGUUUCUGUAUAUAAGUCAAGCUGUACAUUUUAGA
Molecule: long non-coding RNA, 2719 nt
Filed under: Homo sapiens (human)
Lineage: Eukaryota; Metazoa; Chordata; Mammalia; Primates; Hominidae
Description: HSALNT0105722
Source: RNAcentral